This 4609-nucleotide long non-coding RNA is filed under the name Sus scrofa (pig). RNAcentral describes it as "lncRNA (ENSSSCG00035021044.1)". Lineage: Eukaryota; Metazoa; Chordata; Mammalia; Artiodactyla; Suidae. The record is from RNAcentral.
CAGAUCUGAGCCGAGUCUGUGACCUACACUGCAGCUCAUGGCAAGGCCGCAUCCUUAAUCUUCUGAGCCAGGCCAGGGAUUGAACCCCUGUCCGCAUGGGUCCUAGUCGGGUUUGUUACCACAGUGCCAUAACAGGAACUCCCCGACCUCAAGUUCUUAACCCACUGAGCCACAAUGGGAACUCCUGCUCAGGUAUUCGUAAGACAGCAGAGCGAGAGGGAGAGGUGGCAGGUGUGAGGGAGAGAGGGGGAGAUAAUUUAUACAGAAUAUGAAAGUUCAGUUUGAUGAGUGUUGACAGUUGAAUGUAUUUGUCUAUCACUGCCCAAAAUAGGAUAUAAAAUAUUUCAAAACCCAGGAAGUUCCCUUUUACCUCUAGUUAGUCUCCUUACCCUUAUUUAGCAAAUAUUUUCUGAUUCUGGUUACCCUGAUUAGAUUUGCCCAUUCUUGAGUAUAAGAUAAAUGGAAUCAUGCAGCAUGCAUUCUUUUUGUGUCUCUUUCACUCAACAUGUUCUUGGGGAUUCAUUCAUGUUUCACAUGUUGUCAAAGAUGAAACACCCUUUGUCACAGGUAAACAAAGCUGGAUACUCAUUAAAGUGGUAAGGUUAGAUUUUAGUCUGUAAUAACGAUUGCAGUGUGGCAAAGAAUCCAGCAUGAACUCAACUCAACUCCAGUUUGUACAGAGGGUGUUUUAAAGGAGAAUGAGAGAGGAAGGAGGUAGAAGCAGGGAUUCAUUGGAGUCAGAGAAAAAGCACGGAACGUGGGGAAGAGGGGGUUGGUCCACGUGAAAGCAUCUGGCUUUGCUAACUGGGGGACAGGGUGUUACCUGGAGCAAAGAGUAAGUUCUUUUGACAGCCUGGAGUUUUCUCAAGGAAGCAAGCCCUCUAAGGGGAACUGGAGUCAUCCUGGUGAUGUGGCCUUGAGCUGUUCGCACCUGAGUUCAAGUUUGCUCAGGCCUUUAUGUUCUUUUUUUUUUUUUUGGUCUUUUUGCCUUUUCUGGGGCCAAUCCCGUGGCAUAUGGAGAUUCCCAGUCUAGGGGUCUAAUUGGAGCUGUAGCCACUGGCCUAUGCCAGAGCCACAGCAAUGCAGAAUCCGAGCUGCAUCUGCAACCUACACCACAGCUCAUGGCAAUGCCAGAUCCUUAACCCACUGAGCAAGGCCAGGAAUUGAACCUGCAACCUCAUGGUUUCUAGUCGGAUUCGUUAACCACUGUGCCGCAGUGGGAACUCCAGGCCUUUAUAUUCUAAGCCCAGGUGGAGGUCUAGUCGAGGAGCAGCUCAGAGGAGGCAGGUGACAGGUUGGUCAAGGAGAGAAUUGUGGUCAGUGUCAAAUCAUGUGCUCCUUUUUGUGUUGUUGUGUGAAUAUAACACGAUUUGUUCUGUUCACCUGGUGGUACAGAUUUGAGUUGGAUCUGUGUUUGACCAUCAUGAACAGGCUGCAGGGAACACUGUUGUAGCAGUCUGAAAUGUCUCUUGGAUAGCUAUCUAGGAGUGGAAUUGCUUAGUCAUAUUGUGGGUAUGUAUUUAACUGCCAGAUGAAUUUCCACAGUGGUUUAUCAGUUUGCACUUCUCACUCGCCAUGUAUCCAAACUGCAGUGGCUCCAUAUCCUUGUUAAACAUUCAUUGUUGUUAGUGGAUGUGAACUAGCGUCUCAUUUUCAUCUUAAAUGAUACUCCCCUGGUGACAAAUGCGUACUUCUCAGGUGCUUAUUGGCCAUUUCUGCAACUUCUUUUGUGAAUGGUCUGUUGGAGUCCUUUGCCCAUUGUUGCUGCUGGUGAUCACGUUGGUUCCACCUUAUUAGAGGUCAUGAUACAUUCUGGAUAGGACUCCUUUGUCAGACACCUGUGUUGUGAAUAGAUAUGCAUGCACAGGAAAAUGAGAACUUAAAAUAUCAUUUACAAUAUAGCAUUACAAAAGACCAGCUGUUUAAGUCCCAGUCAAAACUCUAGCCAUCUUUUCUUUUUCUGUAAGAAAUUAGCAAAUUGAAUCUAAAUGUGUGUGGAAAUGCAAAGAAUCUGGACUAGCCAAAUAAAAUAUCUUCAAAAGAAGAGGGACUUAGGGGAAUUUACACGCUUCUACUAAUUGUAAAGCUACAGUUAAGCUACUGGGAUUUUAGGAUAUGAAUGAGUCCCAGCUCCUUGUUUAAAAAGCACUAUUUCAGACCAGGGAGCAGGUGUGCUCUGUUCUCCUUGGACAGUCUGGGCUUGUAGUGAAUUUUGUCCCUUAGCGAGUCCUUUGUGUGUUGCUGUGUUGAGUUGCUGCCUUGAGCAGCUUCACUUGCAUGCUUCCUCCUGGGUGUGUAUGGAUGUGCAAGCAUGGAUGCGAGAGGCUGGGGUGGGGAGGGGUUGACAUGUUUGUACCAAAUUCAGCACCUCUUGCAGUCAAGGCAGCAGGAAGCCUUGUUGCUGGAUGUGAAGAAAAGGAAGGAUGUGAUAUGUGCAUGGAGGAGCUGACAACCUAAUGGGUGACAUCCAGCAUAUCCCCCCCUCCUGCCCCACAUCUUCAGUUUGGACUUACUUAGCAAACAAUGUGGAAGUGGUUGUGUUAUUAGGAUAUCACUUAGGAUGCUUUAAGCUGCAAGUAACAGAAGCCCGACUCAAUUUGGCUUAAGUUGUAAAGACCUAUAUCAUCUCACUGGUACCUCACUCAUAUUCCUAGGGACGUAGAGAAGGCUCCAGGCCAUGGGGCAUGACGAAGCCUUAGGGAUCCAGGUUCCUUCUAUGACUUGUCAUUUGUCCUCAGGCUGGUUCCACUCAUGGUGGCAGGAGACUUUCAGGGGUCAGCUGGGCUUCAGCUCCCCAAGUUGGAACACUCUCGCUUUAAAUCCUGGUAGUGUAGGUGAGGAUAGAGUUUUGGCUUCCUUAGCAUUUCCCAAGUUGUAGCUGUUUUGUGUAUGUGUUCCUGGUUUCCCUCCUUAGACCUGACUAAGGGACAGGAAAUGACAGGUGUAUAUGAAUCCAGAGAAAUUCCUUGGUAGUUAUUAGUGAUGUGGGCCCACUAUUUUGGGAUCUCCUUUCCCCUGGACCCAACUCUCUUGGUGGAUGAAAUGGCUCUGAUCAGCUCUGGCCAGUGAGUUUGCUGACUGAAUACAUGGUUGCAGGUCUUCUGAAUGGUAUAGGACAUGGGGUUACUUGAUGUUCCGGGCCUGGGAAUGGAAUGUGUGAUCUGAGGGAAGAGUGAGCAUGGUGGGCACUGUGAUGGGCAGCGUCUGGGAAUAGAAAGGUGGAUGGAGAAGCCUGUUUAUGCUGGUGCUGGGUCACUAGAUGGGACUUGGCCUUUGAGGUCAAUACAUUAUUUCUUGUGGCUCCUUUACUUGGGUCCUGGGAACUUGGCCAUGGAACCUGGCCUGACUUACUCUCCUCACCUGUUUCCUUUUCCAUUGCUUCCAGAUGUGCAGUGAGCAGUGGCUACUGGCAGGACCCUUGCAUCCCGCUGCACCCUCAGCAUGUGGAAGGUCCUAGGCUAGGCAUCAAACCUUUACCACAGCAGUGACAGAUCCUUGUGACAGGAUAAUGCCAGAUCCUUAACCUGCUGAGCCACCAGGGAGCUCCUAGGGAUUCAUUCUAAAAAAGAGAGUGCUUUUGUGCACACUUUCCAACUUCCUCACCAGCACAGUGUCUUAGGAAAUUUUAUUUUUUGGCCAUACCUGGGCCCCUCUGUCUUAUGAAACGUAAUCUUUGUUCAUCUGAUAUAUGAUACAUGUGCACUCUUUUUAUUUUCUAUUUCUCUUGGGGUGACGUUGAAAAUGAUUUUUAUAUGCUUAGAAGCCAUUGAUCUGUCUUUUACUCUGAACUGUCCACAUUAGGGAUUAUUGCUGUUGUUGUUGCCCUGUUAAAAUGUUCAUAACACUCUUAGGUUCUGCAAGUAAUUUCUUUCUUUUUCCUUUUCUAGGGCCAUACCUGCCAUAUGGGAGUUCCUGGCUAGGGGUCAAAUCAGAGCUGUAGCUGCCAGCCUAUACCCCAGCCACAGCUAUGCCGGAUCUGAGCCUUGUUUGCAGUAUACCCUGCAGCUCUCAGCAGUGCCAGAUCCUUAACCCACUGAGUGUGGCCAGGAAUCCAAUCUGCAUCCUCAUGGAUCCUAGUCAGUUUCUUAACCUGCUGAGCCACAACAGGAACUCCUCAGCAAGUAAUUUUCAUCAAUGAAAUGGAAGGAUUUGAGACAGGAGUGUGGCUUCAUUUCAGCCAUAUUGGGAAACUGAAUGGUCCAGAGGCAGGGACCCUCCAUGGCCAGUGGCUGGCUGAGUGCCCCCUUCCUUCUUCCUCUCCUGGGUUUGCAUCUGGAGAUUGGGCACCUGCAGCCCAGCAGGAGAGGGCUUCCCAAACGUCUCCCCUGAGGACAUAUUCUUGUCCCCAGAGGGAAUCCACUGUGGAUGAGGUUCUGUAAAAUACAGUGAGAGAUGCUUUGCAGAGUUCCCAUUGUGGCUCAGUGGAUUAAGGACCUGAUGUAGACUCUAGGAGGAUGUGGGUUCAGUCCCUGGCCUCACUCAGUGGGUUAUGGAUUGGGUAUUGCCCACAGCUGGAGUGUAGGUCACACAUGUGUCAGGGUUGCAGUGUGGCAGUGGCUGUGGCAUAGGUUGGCAGCUUCAUCUCUGAUUUGAUCCCUAGCCUGGGAAC